This 252-nucleotide ribosomal RNA is filed under the name uncultured bacterium. RNAcentral describes it as "partial 16S ribosomal RNA". It matches the Rfam family "Bacterial small subunit ribosomal RNA", at positions 524 to 776 of the family's 1533-position model. The record is from RNAcentral.
UACGGAGGGGGCUAGCGUUGUUCGGAAUUACUGGGCGUAAAGCGCACGUAGGCGGCUUUGCAAGUCAGAGGUGAAAGCCCGGGGCUCAACCCCGGAAUUGCCUUUGAGACUGCAUCGCUAGAAUUGUGGAGAAGGUAAGUGGAAUUCCGAGUGUAGAGGUGAAAUCGUAGAUAUUGGAAGAACACCAGUGGCGAAGGCGACUUACUGGACACAUAUUGACGCUGAGGUGCGAAAGCGUGGGGAGCAAACAGG